CAACGUUAAUCGGGGCAGGGUGAGUCGACCCCUAAGGCGAGGCCGAAAGGCGUAGUCGAUGGGAAACAGGUUAAUAUUCCUGUACUUGGUGUUACUGCGAAGGGGGGACGGAGAAGGCUAUGUUGGCCGGGCGACGGUUGUCCCGGUUUAAGCGUGUAGGCUGGUUUUCCAGGCAAAUCCGGAAAAUCAAGGCUGAGGCGUGAUGACGAGGCACUACGGUGCUGAAGCAACAAAUGCCCUGCUUCCAGGAAAAGCCUCUAAGCAUCAGGUAACAUCAAAUCGUACCCCAAACCGACACAGGUGGUCAGGUAGAGAAUACCAAGGCGCUUGAGAGAACUCGGGUGAAGGAACUAGGCAAAAUGGUGCCGUAACUUCGGGAGAAGGCACGCUGAUAUGUAGGUGAAGCGACUUGCUCGUGGAGCUGAAAUCAGUCGAAGAUACCAGCUGGCUGCAACUGUUUAUUAAAAACACAGCACUGUGCAAACACGAAAGUGGACGUAUACGGUGUGACGCCUGCCCGGUGCCGGAAGGUUAAUUGAUGGGGUCAGCGCAAGCGAAGCUCUUGAUCGAAGCCCCGGUAAACGGCGGCCGUAACUAUAACGGUCCUAAGGUAGCGAAAUUCCUUGUCGGGUAAGUUCCGACCUGCACGAAUGGCGUAAUGAUGGCCAGGCUGUCUCCACCCGAGACUCAGUGAAAUUGAACUCGCUGUGAAGAUGCAGUGUACCCGCGGCAAGACGGAAAGACCCCGUGAACCUUUACUAUAGCUUGACACUGAACAUUGAGCCUUGAUGUGUAGGAUAGGUGGGAGGCUUAGAAGUGUGGACGCCAGUCUGCAUGGAGCCGACCUUGAAAUACCACCCUUUAAUGUUUGAUGUUCUAACGUUGACCCGUAAUCCGGGUUGCGGACAGUGUCUGGUGGGUAGUUUGACUGGGGCGGUCUCCUCCUAAAGAGUAACGGAGGAGCACGAAGGUUGGCUAAUCCUGGUCGGACAUCAGGAGGUUAGUGCAAUGGCAUAAGCCAGCUUGACUGCGAGCGUGACGGCGCGAGCAGGUGCGAAAGCAGGUCAUAGUGAUCCGGUGGUUCUGAAUGGAAGGGCCAUCGCUCAACGGAUAAAAGGUACUCCGGGGAUAACAGGCUGAUACCGCCCAAGAGUUCAUAUCGACGGCGGUGUUUGGCACCUCGAUGUCGGCUCAUCACAUCCUGGGGCUGAAGUAGGUCCCAAGGGUAUGGCUGUUCGCCAUUUAAAGUGGUACGCGAGCUGGGUUUAGAACGUCGUGAGACAGUUCGGUCCCUAUCUGCCGUGGGCGCUGGAGAACUGAGGGGGGCUGCUCCUAGUACGAGAGGACCGGAGUGGACGCAUCACUGGUGUUCGGGUUGUCAUGCCAAUGGCACUGCCCGGUAGCUAAAUGCGGAAGAGAUAAGUGCUGAAAGCAUCUAAGCACGAAACUUGCC
RNAcentral lists this ribosomal RNA (1453 nucleotides) under Escherichia coli. RNAcentral describes it as "partial 23S ribosomal RNA". It matches the Rfam family "Bacterial large subunit ribosomal RNA", at positions 1360 to 2798 of the family's 2925-position model. Lineage: Bacteria; Pseudomonadati; Pseudomonadota; Gammaproteobacteria; Enterobacterales; Enterobacteriaceae. The record is from RNAcentral.